AGCUUAGUUGGUUAGAGCAUUGGUGCGUAAAGCCAAUGGUUCCGGGUUCGAUUCCCGG
RNAcentral lists this transfer RNA (58 nucleotides) under Agrilus planipennis (emerald ash borer). It matches the Rfam family "tRNA", at positions 9 to 63 of the family's 71-position model. Rfam says of the family: Transfer RNA (tRNA) molecules are approximately 80 nucleotides in length. Their secondary structure includes four short double-helical elements and three loops (D, anti-codon, and T loops). Lineage: Eukaryota; Metazoa; Arthropoda; Insecta; Coleoptera; Buprestidae. The record is from Rfam by way of RNAcentral.